UGAGCCUUGCGUGGGAGCAGGGGCCUGUGGCUGAGCCCUGCCUUCUGCAGGCUGCCCCAGGACAGGGCACGCAGGCGAACACAGGGCUGGGCUCAAUGGGGUGGGGAGCAGAUUCUAGCUCAGUCAGCCAGAAUGUUCUCUAUUGAGAUACAGUUUUUUGUUUGCGAAAAUCCUCAACUUUGGCGACCACCACGAGGUGCUUUAUGUUAGGGCGCGUUCUCCCGUGAGUGAGGCGUGGUUGUCCUAUCCCACAGAUGAAGAAGGGAAGUCACUUGCUUCACCGCCAGGGAAGGGCUCCAGCGAGACAUGGGCUCCUGAAAUUGGAGGUCUGUGAAGGCCCCGGGAGGUACAGGAUCUGUCCCCCCACCCUCCUUAGAUUGCAGCGGGGAAAGAGGUGUGUCUCCCACAGAAAAAUGUGCAUGUUCUUUUAGAUGUGUGGCCUUGGAGCAAAUUAUUUAGCCUGCCUCUAUGUGUUCACCUGGAAAAUGGGAUGAUGCAGAUGGUGAUGAUAAUGGGAACCCCCUCUUGGAGCUGCUGGGCAGAUGAA
Molecule: long non-coding RNA, 547 nt
Organism: Cebus imitator (Panamanian white-faced capuchin)
Lineage: Eukaryota; Metazoa; Chordata; Mammalia; Primates; Cebidae
Exons: 3
Source: RefSeq, a predicted model, not a curated record